GUCCACGCCGUAAACGAUGAAUACUAGGUGUGGGGGUUGUCAUGACCUCCGUGCCGCCGCUAACGCAUUAAGUAUUCCGCCUGGGGAGUACGGUCGCAAGAUUAAAACUCAAAGGAAUUGACGGGGGCCCGCACAAGCAGCGGAGCAUGUGGUUUAAUUCGAAGCAACGCGAAGAACCUUACCUAGACUUGACAUCUCCUGAAUUACUCUGUAAUGGAGGAAGCCCUUCGGGGCAGGAAGACAGGUGGUGCAUGGUUGUCGU
This 262-nucleotide ribosomal RNA is filed under the name uncultured bacterium. Its description in RNAcentral is "partial 16S ribosomal RNA". It matches the Rfam family "Bacterial small subunit ribosomal RNA", at positions 793 to 1055 of the family's 1533-position model. The record is from RNAcentral.